This 521-nucleotide ribosomal RNA is filed under the name Clostridioides difficile. Its description in RNAcentral is "bacterial SSU rRNA". It matches the Rfam family "Bacterial small subunit ribosomal RNA", at positions 1018 to 1533 of the family's 1533-position model. The record is from RNAcentral. Lineage: Bacteria; Bacillati; Bacillota; Clostridia; Peptostreptococcales; Peptostreptococcaceae.
UUCGGGGACAUUGGUGACAGGUGGUGCAUGGUUGUCGUCAGCUCGUGUCGUGAGAUGUUGGGUUAAGUCCCGCAACGAGCGCAACCCUUGUCUUUAGUUGCCAUCAUUAAGUUGGGCACUCUAGAGAGACUGCCAGGGAUAACCUGGAGGAAGGUGGGGAUGACGUCAAAUCAUCAUGCCCCUUAUGCUUAGGGCUACACACGUGCUACAAUGGGUAGUACAGAGGGUUGCCAAGCCGUAAGGUGGAGCUAAUCCCUUAAAGCUACUCUCAGUUCGGAUUGUAGGCUGAAACUCGCCUACAUGAAGCUGGAGUUACUAGUAAUCGCAGAUCAGAAUGCUGCGGUGAAUGCGUUCCCGGGUCUUGUACACACCGCCCGUCACACCACGGGAGUUGGAGACGCCCGAAGCCGAUUAUCUAACCUUUUGGAAGAAGGCGUCGAAGGUGGAAUCAAUAACUGGGGUGAAGUCGUAACAAGGUAGCCGUAUCGGAAGGUGCGGCUGGAUCACCUCCUUUCUAAGGA